This 254-nucleotide ribosomal RNA is filed under the name uncultured bacterium. RNAcentral's name for it is "partial 16S ribosomal RNA". It matches the Rfam family "Bacterial small subunit ribosomal RNA", at positions 524 to 776 of the family's 1533-position model. The record is from RNAcentral.
UACGUAGGGUGCGAGCGUUAAUCGGAAUUACUGGGCGUAAAGCGUGCGCAGGCGGUCUGUUAAGACCGAUGUGAAAUCCCCGGGCUUAACCUGGGAACUGCAUUGGUGACUGGCAGGCUUUGAGUGUGGCAGAGGGAGGUAGAAUUCCACGUGUAGCAGUGAAAUGCGUAGAGAUGUGGAGGAAUACCGAUGGCGAAGGCAGCAUCCUGGGCCAACACUGACGCUCAUGCACGAAAGCGUGGGGAGCAAACAGG